Snodgrassella alvi wkB2 is the source of this 73-nucleotide non-coding RNA. Lineage: Bacteria; Pseudomonadati; Pseudomonadota; Betaproteobacteria; Neisseriales; Neisseriaceae. The record is from Rfam.
GCGCCUAUCGUCUAGAGGCCGAGGACACUACCCUUUCACGGUAGCAACCGGGGUUCGAAUCCCUGUAGGCGUG